Molecule: ribosomal RNA, 421 nt
Filed under: uncultured Deferribacter sp.
Lineage: Bacteria; Pseudomonadati; Deferribacterota; Deferribacteres; Deferribacterales; Deferribacteraceae
Description: bacterial SSU rRNA
Rfam family: Bacterial small subunit ribosomal RNA
Source: RNAcentral
GGAAGCUUGCUGAAGUAGUUUGUUAGUAGCGGACGGGUGAGUAAUGCAUGAGGACCCGCCUUCCGGAGGGGGACAACAGUUGGAAACGGCUGCUAAUACCCCGUAUGCCGAGAGGUGAAAGGGAUGGAGACAUCCCGCCGGGAGAGGGACUCAUGUCCUAUCAGCUUGUUGGUGAGGUAACGGCUCACCAAGGCGACGACGGGUAGCCGGCCUGAGAGGGCGAACGGCCACACUGGAACUGAGAGACGGUCCAGACUCCUACGGGAGGCAGCAGUGGGGAAUAUUGGGCAAUGGGGGCAACCCUGACCCAGCGACGCCGCGUGAGGGAAGAAGGCCUUCGGGUCGUAAACCUCUUUUGUACGGGAAGAAGAAGAUGACGGUACCGUACGAAGAAGUCCCGGCUAACUACGUGCCAGCAGCC